RNAcentral lists this long non-coding RNA (1015 nucleotides) under Carassius auratus (goldfish). RNAcentral describes it as "lncRNA (ENSCARG00000057744.1)". Lineage: Eukaryota; Metazoa; Chordata; Actinopteri; Cypriniformes; Cyprinidae. The record is from RNAcentral.
UACUGAAGAAGUUAUUUCUGGAGCCAGUUCCUGUUCCUGGAAUAAGGUUUGAUUGGUUACCCAUGAAUGCCAAUUAGAAAAUGACAGUAGUUUGAUAUUUCUGCUAUUUUGUGUAAUUUUGUAAUGUGGUUUCAACUGUAUUCAACUGUGUGUAAUUAUUUAUUGCUUUAUACACUUUGAUCAUUUGUGACAUCUUGUCUUUUGACUCAUUACAAGACAAAUAAAUCAAAAAUGCUUUGUUGAAGGGAGUAACUUUAAAUAGAAAACAUUUAAAGUAACUAGAACUAAUUGGAUGGAACCACUGUCCAUAAUUGAAUUAAGUUAGUUUAAAGAGUCAUUAAAACAAGUAAAGCAUACCUGAUAUUUAAGUGUUUGCUGGUUCUUUCCAAGGGUUCAAAAAAAAAAAAAUUAAGCAGCAGUCAAGGAGCUUUUUUUUACCGUGAAAUAUCAGUGUAGUUGAACAUCUGAUGUUGUACGGAAGCAUGACAUGUAAAUGGAGAACAAAAACUGUAAUGUGAACAAGAAUUCUGAAGGGUCAGAUGUGUUCUGCCGGUUCUGCAAACAUACUGGCAAAAUGAGGUGCUCAAGUUAGAUGCUCAUCUGAUGUUGUGUUGCUGGUAAGUUGUGUUAAUGUCUGUCUUUUAGAGAUUUUUUCCCACAUUUUCCUGAUAUGAAUCCCAUGCAUUAGGUGUGUUAUAUGUUUUUAUACUUAUAAAAGUCUCAAAGUGUUUUCUGAAACAUAUAAUUGCAGGUGUUGGUUUAAUUUAAAUGAAUUAAUGAAAAUAAAUUUAAAAAUGAAUUAGGAUUGUUUAAAGCAGUGGUUCUCAAAGUUUCAGGAUCCCUCUAAUGGUUAUGCAGGGGAAUCACUAAAUUAAAUAAUAAUUAAUGUUAAUACAUUUUAAUUGAAUCUUUGAGUAAGGUUUUUGUUUUUUUGUUUUUUUACAUGUAAGUACAGUACAUUUAUGUAACUUGUUAUAACACAUUUUAAUUUAAAAUGUAUAUUUUCAUUUACCGG